GGGGUUGUGGCUUAGAGGUAGAGCGCUCGCCUGGCAUGUGCGAGGCCCUGGGUUCGAUCCUCAGCACCGCA
Molecule: transfer RNA, 71 nt
Filed under: Marmota monax (woodchuck)
Lineage: Eukaryota; Metazoa; Chordata; Mammalia; Rodentia; Sciuridae
Description: tRNA.Ala
Rfam family: tRNA
About the family: Transfer RNA (tRNA) molecules are approximately 80 nucleotides in length. Their secondary structure includes four short double-helical elements and three loops (D, anti-codon, and T loops).
Source: RNAcentral